UACGUAGGGGGCGAGCGUUGUCCGGAAUCACUGGGCGUAAAGCGUGCGUAGGCGGUUUGUUAAGUCCGAAGUGAAAGUCCAGGGCUCAACCUUGGGAUUGCUUUGGAAACUGGCAGACUUGAGUGCUGGAGAGGCAAGGGGAAUUCCACGUGUAGCGGUGAAAUGCGUAGAUAUGUGGAGGAAUACCAGUGGCGAAGGCGCCUUGCUGGACAGUGACUGACGCUGAGGCACGAAAGCGUGGGGAGCAAACAGG
RNAcentral lists this ribosomal RNA (253 nucleotides) under uncultured bacterium. Its description in RNAcentral is "partial 16S ribosomal RNA". It matches the Rfam family "Bacterial small subunit ribosomal RNA", at positions 524 to 776 of the family's 1533-position model. The record is from RNAcentral.